This is an RNA transcript of Fragaria vesca subsp. vesca, 1645 nucleotides long. It is a transcript of the gene named cytochrome P450 71A4-like, with no coding region annotated. The record is from RefSeq and is a predicted model, not a curated record. The transcript has 3 exons. Lineage: Eukaryota; Viridiplantae; Streptophyta; Magnoliopsida; Rosales; Rosaceae.
CUUUACCCUCAUAGUCAACAGUACUGGAUCAUUGAAAAACAACAUUAUCAUUGCUGAGAACUGAUCCUGCAGUUUCCAUUGAUAACAUUAUUGCUGAUCGAGAACUGAUCCUGCAGUUUCCAUUGAUAACAUUAUUGCUGAUCGAGAACUGAUCCGCUGCUCACUGAUAGGUCCAUUAUGAAAUAGAUCUUUAUAUUAUAUUAUUAGAAUGCGCACCACCAUAUAGCGUUCGGCAUACUUCAUCGACUACUAGCUAUGUUGAACCUGUUUGUAUUUGCUCUUCCUUUGCUCUUCUUCACAAUAUUCCUCGUCAAAUGGUUUUCCGCUGCAAACGCCCACAAUCAUUUGCCUCCAUCACCACCAAGGCUUCCAAUACUAGGAAACCUCCACCAACUUGGCACACGCCCUCACCGAUCCCUCCAGAAACUAGCUCAGCACCAUGGUGAACUCAUGAUGCUUCGUUUCGGUUCCAGACCAGUGAUAUCGAUCAUAGUUUCAUCUGCAGAUGCUGCUCGCGAGAUCAUGAAGACAAAUGAUCGCAUCUUCUGUACCAAACCCAAAUUAACAGUUGCUGAUAAAUUGCUCUACCAAGGCAAGGAUGUGGCCACCGCUCCGUACGGUGAGUAUUGGAGGCAGAUAAGAAGCAUAUGUGUUCUCCAGCUUUUAAGUAACAAAAGGGUUCAGUCUUUCCGUGGGGUUAGAGAAGAAGAAGUAGCCUUGCUGAUUCAGAAUAUCGAACAGUCAUCUAUGUUGUCACUACGUACCGGUCAAUCUAAGCGAACUAUUUUCUUUGCAUACUAAUGAUGUGAUUUGUAGGUUGGCUUUUGGGAAGAAGUAUAGUGGUGGUAGUGAAGGUGCAAUCAAGUUCAAGAAGUUGCUUGGGGAAUUUAUGGGGUUGUUGAGUGGUUUCUCUGUUGGAGAUAACAUUCCAUGGCUUUCUUGGGUCAAUCACUUUAGUGGGUUAGAUGCAAGAGUGGAGAAAGUUUCUAAAGAAUUUGAUGAAUUUCUUGAUACAAUAGUUGAUGAGCAUAUGGUUAAUCUUAGCACAGAGAGAAAUGUCUGUGGUGAAGAAGGUGAAGUUAGGAAGGAUUUUGUGGAUCUCCUGCUUGAAGUGCAAAACAAUAACAUCUCUGGCUCUUCCAUUGAUAGAGAUGGCAUCAAAGCUGUCAUCUUGGAUAUGUUUGUAGGUGAAACCGAUACAACCUCCACAGUUCUAGAGUGGGCGAUGACUGAACUCAUAAGGCAUCCCAUGGUGAUGAAAAGACUGCAAAAUGAGAUUAUGGGAAUUGCUAAUGGAAAACAAGACAUAACAGAAACAGACUUGGACAAAAUGCCAUACUUGAAAGCUGUGAUCAAAGAAACACUGAGGCUGUAUCCUCCGCUACCGUUGGGGAGCAUGCGAGAGUCCAUCCAAGACACUAAAAUAAAGGGAUAUCACAUAGCUGCAAGAACCAUGGUCAUAGUCAAUGCCUGGACAAUCGAAAGAGACCCUUCUCUGUGGGAUGAACCGGAGGAGUUUCAACCUGAGAGAUUUAUAAAUUCUAGUGUGGACUUCAGAGGGCAGGACUUCCAAUCUAUGGUGGUGGAUGGAUGGCGACAAAUUGAUUGUUCAUCUCGAAGGAUGCGGAACGAGGUUGGGGAAUGA